Lolium rigidum is the source of this 1029-nucleotide long non-coding RNA. RefSeq lists it as uncharacterized. NCBI's taxonomy places the organism in Eukaryota, Viridiplantae, Streptophyta, Magnoliopsida, Poales, Poaceae. The transcript is spliced from 2 exons. The record is from RefSeq and is a predicted model, not a curated record.
UUUUGAACAACAAAAGAUUUUAUUAUGCGCUGGCUCAUCCUGAAAUCACGCGUGGCCCAUCUCCUCGCCCAAAUUUACUAUGCGCUGGCUCAUCCUGAAAUCACGCUAAAAAAAGGCUCAUCCUGAAAUCACCCAAAAUUACGGCCGAAAUUGCUCCUCUCCAAAUCAAUCAGUUGCCGGUGUGUUUGCUCCCAGCUGCGCCGCCGGUCUCUCUCCCACCGCGCCGCCAUCUUCAACCCGGCCGGAUUCCUGCGCGUCCCACCUGGUUCGGGUCUUCUGCCGGCACGCACGCAGCUCCGCCGCUGGCCGGGAGUUUUGGCGAGGGCCUCCUUGACCGUCGGCAGCCGGCGGUGUAGAGGCAGAGGCUCCAUAGCUAGGCCGACGAGGGUACACUCAAGACAAAGCUGCGUACCAGAGGCUGCUUCGUUGAAUUACUACACAAACCUGGCGCAGAUUACCUUUUUGGCCAAUGGGUACCAUUAGUCGGCUACAACGACGUUGACAGUGGGUUAAUCAAGGUCGAGAAUAUGUUGGUCAAGGUUUCAUGUAUGAAGCACCACCGCUAGGAUGAGCGACUUCUUCACGUCAAGGGAAGCAGACCAAUGUGCUGCUCCUAUUACAUUGGUGCCCUUCACCACCAGAUGUAGUCACUCCAAGAGGCAGGGAGGGUUACCAAUGGUGGCAUGAGGUCGUUGUUGCAUGUCAUUGACGAGUCUCUAAUGUUCCCUGCCAGCAUGCAUGCACCAUCACCAUGAGAGGUGGAAGUUGGACAUUGUGCUAGACAACGCAAUCCCUGUGACUUAUUAUUAUUGUUUACAGGAGCAAAUAAUGAUAUUAUUGGAAGCAAAAGCUAUUUCAUUUGGAAGCAAAUUAUAAUGCUCCGUAGGAAGCAAUGAUAGAAGCAAAUAUUUGUUUCAUUCGAAGCAGAUACUAGUUCAUUUAGGAAGCAAAUAAUAUGCUAUUAUUUAACCAAUGUCGAGAGAAAUGUAUGUUUGUUACAUUGGAAGCAAACUAUUUUUUAAUUUGUAA